RNAcentral lists this ribosomal RNA (491 nucleotides) under uncultured bacterium. Its description in RNAcentral is "partial 16S ribosomal RNA". It matches the Rfam family "Bacterial small subunit ribosomal RNA", at positions 28 to 507 of the family's 1533-position model. The record is from RNAcentral.
GAUGAACGCUGGCUACAGGCUUAACACAUGCAAGUCGAGGGGAAAAGACGGGGAAGCUUGCUUCCCCGGGCGUCGACCGGCGCACGGGUGAGUAACGCGUAUCCAACCUGCCUCUGACUGAGGGAUAACCCGUCGAAAGUCGGCCUAAUACCCCAUGGCAUCGUCUGCGGGCAUCCAACGACGAUUAAAGAUUUCAUCGGUCAGGGAUGGGGAUGCGUCUGAUUAGCUUGUUGGCGGGGUAACAGCCCACCAAAGCUACGAUCAUUAGGGGUUCUGAGAGGAAGGUCCCCCACAUUGGAACCACGACACGGACCAAACUCCUACGGGAGGGAGCAGUAAGGAAGAUUGUGCAAGGGGCGGGAGCCUGAACCAGCCAAGUGGCUUGCAGGAUGACUGCCCUAUGGGUGGUAAACUGCUUUUAUGCGGGGAUAAAGUGAGGGACGCGUCCUUCAUUGAAGGUACCGAAUGAAUAAGGACCGGCUAAUUCCGUG